Molecule: long non-coding RNA, 1930 nt
Filed under: Sinocyclocheilus anshuiensis
Lineage: Eukaryota; Metazoa; Chordata; Actinopteri; Cypriniformes; Cyprinidae
Description: lncRNA (ENSSANG00000022760.1)
Source: RNAcentral
GGCUACAUGUACAGAUAAAAACCUAAAAUAUGUCAUAUACGCUAUUUGGCUGAUGUAGUUGCUGGCGGACAGCUGGAAAAGGAAACUGACAUCAAAAUAUACCUUAGAAGACUUUACUGCUGCAGAAAACAAUGUCCAAAGCCAGGAGGCCGAGACUGGAGAAGAGUCAGAAGCAGGAGACGUUCGCUUCGAGUUCGAGCCCCAAACCUACAGAGGUCGUGCCCAGUGAACUCUCAUGGAGUCCAGAGUUCAUCCGGGAGCUUCUUCCGUCUGCGGAGCGAACAGCUCUUUUCUAUCAUCUCUCUUACCUGUGUUUGGGAAACUUCCCAAAGCUGGAGCGUCUGAUCAGAGAACGAGCUCUGGACACACAACUGCUGUUUGGAUCCUCUGAAGCUGUUCUGUUGAAGUGUGUUGGCACAAGUUCCAACCUGGUCUCCUCCCUGUUCCCCAUGCUGAUGACGGCGGUUGAGAAGAACAAACCCGUUCUGGCUGUGAGGUACCUGGAGAAAGCCAGAACAUGGAUCAGUGACAUCAUUAGAUCUGUGGAUGACAUGGUGAAGAGGUAUGAUCAACAAAACCGAAGUGUGGCGACGUGCACCAGUGAUGUGAUUCAAGAGCAGAAAGAGACCGAAGGAAAAAUAACGAGCAACACUAAGGAGAUGGAGAGUCUGAAGGAGGCCGUGGACAAGCUUGAAAAGGAGCUGAGGAAACACAACAGAAAUAUGGAGGAAUUAGAGAGAAAAAUUGAAGACAAAAACCGCGAGCUACAGAAUCACAUCACAAAUUCCAGCAAAAACCGCUUCGGUAUCCUGAGGGCCUUGGUGCCAUUUUUUGCAUUCGUUCAAGAUAUGAUAACCACCCCUGCGAUCGCUGCUAAAACUCAAUCUCUCAACGCCGACCUGUCCUGUCUCAACUCGGAGAAGAGCAGUCUGCAAAGCAAACAGUGGAUGAUUCAAGUCAGACUAACUGAUCUUCAGCUGAAGUUGGCCACUUCCAAAAUACAGCUGGGUGUGAUUCCCAGUCCUGUCCACCUGGAGGACGUCCAGCAGUGUCUUUCUCGAAUCCAGCAGAUUCUGGUUCAGCUUCAGAAGUUCUGGGAGAAAGUAGAAACUCUGCUGGACACUCUGAAGGAGAAGACCUUUGUUAAUGAGUAUCUCAUUGAGGACCUGGAUGACAUGAAGGAGGAGUUUCUGACCUCCAUUGAAGCAGCAGGAAAGUGCUGGCAGAGAUUUGGUGAAUGCUGUCAGAGAGCACAAGGCAUCUUCAGUGUUCAGUCUAAGGAUGCAUACAAGUUCCUGGAGACGAAUCCUUCCUCACUUUCGACGGAUGAAUGGGAAAAGCAGCGCAAGUCUAUCAUGGAGAGACUGAAUGAGAUCAGCCCGCAGGGGUCGUCUAAAGUCGCCAUCACUGAGUGACACACAGAGAGACAUGAUUAAAGAAUUAACUAAUUCAUCACUUUUUACAAUGAGAUUUACUAAUGCAUAGAUUCUCUAAUAAUGUCUAAUGUAAUGUCUUUACUGUUCUUGAACUAGUUACAAUUCUUUGUGAAUUAUGUAAAAUCUGGUUAAAAUCACUCUGUGGUAUAUAAUGUAAGAUCCAUGUGGUCUGGCCACACUGCAGAAAAAGAAUGAAUUAAUAAACAAACAGACAAAUGGAAAAUGUACAGGUGAGCUAAUUUUCUGCCAGGACAUUAUCCUUCAAUUUGACGGACAUGUCUGUUCACCCUAAAACACAAGGCAAUGAAGUGCAAAAUUUAAAAUACAGGCAAAACACUGGUUAAUACAUUGCGCCUUAUUUUCAUGGAUUUGUUUGACAGUGUAUGUCACACAAUAAAGACUUGCAUUAUAGCGUAAUCAUGUAAAAAGAUUUGUCUGAUGAGUUUCACUGUAUUGGAAAUUACAAUCAAGGGUUUAAAAAAAUAAUUUGUCAU